Molecule: ribosomal RNA, 883 nt
Filed under: Bigelowiella longifila
Lineage: Eukaryota; Cercozoa; Chlorarachniophyceae
Description: partial Bacterial large subunit ribosomal RNA
Rfam family: Bacterial large subunit ribosomal RNA
Source: RNAcentral
GGUGAAAGGCCAAUCAAACUCGGAAAUAGCUGGUUCUCCGCGAAAUCUAUUUAGGUAGAGCGUUAGAUGAAUACCAUCGGGGGUAGAGCACUGGAUGGGCUAGGGGGUCUCACCGACUUACCAAACCUAACCAAACUCCGAAUACCGAUGAGUAAUAUCUGGCAGACACACUACGGGUGCUAAGGUCCGUAGUGGAAAGGGAAACAGCCCUGACCGCCAGCUAAGGUCCCUAAGUUAUGGCUAAGUGGGAAAGGAUGUGAGAGUGCAUAGACAACCAGGAUGUUGGCUUAGAAGCAGCCAUCAUUUAAAGAAAGCGUAACAGCUCACUGGUCAAGCGCUCUUGCGCCGAAAAUGUACCGGGGCUAAAGCCAUACACCGAAGCUGCGGAUGCACAUUUAUGUGCGUGGUAGCGGAGCGUUCUGUAAGCCUGUGAAGGGUGACCCGCGAGGGCACUUGGAGGUAUCAGAAGUGAGAAUGCUGACAUGAGUAGCGAUAAAGAGGGUGAGAGACCCUCUCGCCGAAAGACCAAGGGUUCCUGCGUAAAGCUAAUCUGCGCAGGGUUAGUCGGCCCCUAAGGCGAGGGCGAAAGCCGUAGUCGAUGGGAAACAGGUUAAUAUUCCUGUACCUGGAGGUAGUGACGAAUCCCGUGUGUUGUCCACCCUUAUUGGAUUGGGUGGGCCGCGAAGGGGUUCCAGGAAAUAGCUCCUCCAUUAUAGACCGUACCCCAAACCGACACAGGUGGUCUGGUAGAGUAUACCAAGGCGCUUGAGAGAACUAUGUUGAAGGAACUCGGCAAAAUGCUCCCGUAAGUUCGCGAGAAGGGAGACCUCCACUUAGGCAACUAGGUGGGGGUGGCACAGACCAGGGGGUGGCGACUGUUUAC